RNAcentral lists this long non-coding RNA (595 nucleotides) under Cricetulus griseus (Chinese hamster). RNAcentral's name for it is "lncRNA (ENSCGRG00015032513.1)". Lineage: Eukaryota; Metazoa; Chordata; Mammalia; Rodentia; Cricetidae. The record is from RNAcentral.
CUAGUUCUGAUGAUAACCACUUGAAAUUAUUGUCAGAUUCUACAAAUUUAAGGGCACAAUUUCCCUAAAGAUCUGCUGCCUCAUAUUAGAUGGCCACCCACAUGUUUGGGAAGGUGAGUAAUCUGUUUAUAGUUCCAGUUGACUAGGAAGGCACUUAAUAGUCUCCCACAGGCACUUAAAGUAGAAUGACUAGCAAGAAACUCCAGGAAGCCCUACACAAAAGAUUACAGUUUCAUCAUAAAGACUAUAUAUUGGAAUAGCGGCCAGACGAAAACCUGAAUGAAAGAGAAGAAUACAAAGAAAAAAACCCACAAUACCAGAUUUGGGAUACUUUCCUAUGCUUUGUUGGUCAGAGAGGUCUCAGAAGCAUCCAAAGCAAUAUGGAUUAUCAUCACUGCUUUUGAUUGGUUGCCCACAAGAACAUGAAGGGCAUUUGUGCGAGCCAAUGAAGUCACCUGAGACCUCUGCUUACUGUGUGAGCCUGAGGUUCUUAUCAGAAGAUCCAGCCACUAGGAAGAUUCUGCAAAUGAAGCAUGGGAGCAUCUGGAAGAGGUGUUAACUAGAGCAAAGAACCAGAAUCCUGAGACUAAAUGGA